Molecule: ribosomal RNA, 465 nt
Filed under: uncultured bacterium
Lineage: Bacteria
Description: partial 16S ribosomal RNA
Rfam family: Bacterial small subunit ribosomal RNA
Source: RNAcentral
CCUACGGGCGGCAGCAGUGGGGAAUAUUGCGCAAUGGGCGAAAGCCUGACGCAGCGACGCCGCGUGAGGGAUGAAGGUCUUCGGAUCGUAAACCCCUGUCAGCAGGGAAGAACGGUCACUGUGCUAAUCAGCAGUGAAUCGACGGUACCUGCACAGGAAGCACCGGCUAACUCCGUGCCAGCAGCCGCGGUAAUACGGAGGGUGCGAGCGUUAACCGGAAUUACUGGGCGUAAAGCGCUCGUAGGCGGUAUGUCAAGUCAAGGGUGAAAUCCCCGCGCGCAACGUGGGAAGUGCCUUUGAAACUGGCAGACUGGAGUGUGUGAGAGGAUAGUGGAAUUCCAGGGGUAGGAGUGAAAUCCGUAGAUAUGUGGAGGAACAUCAGUGGCGAAGGCGACUAUCUGGCACAUAACUGACGCUGAGGAGCGAAAGCGUGGGUAGCAAACAGGAUUAGAUACCCCAGUAGUG